This 250-nucleotide ribosomal RNA is filed under the name uncultured bacterium. RNAcentral describes it as "partial 16S ribosomal RNA". It matches the Rfam family "Bacterial small subunit ribosomal RNA", at positions 29 to 303 of the family's 1533-position model. The record is from RNAcentral.
AACGAACGCUGGCGGCAGGCCUAACACAUGCAAGUCGAGCGGAUGUAGCAAUACAUCAGCGGCGCACGGGUGAGUAACGCGUGGGAACCUGCCCUUUGGUACGGAACAACCCUGGGAAACUAGGGCUAAUACCGAAUACGCCUCGAGAGAGGGAAAGAUUUAUCGCCGAAGGAGGGCCGCGUCCGAUUAGCUAGUUGGUGGGUAAAGGCCGUAACCAAGGCUACGAUCGGUAGCCGGUCUGAGAGGACGA